UUGAACGCUGGCGGCAUGCUUUACACAUGCAAGUCGAACGCGAAAGGGGGGCAACCCCUGAGUAGAGUGGCGCACGGGUGAGUAAUACAUCGGAACGUGUCCUGUAGCGGGGGACAACCCCGAGAAAUCGGGGCUAAUACCGCAUACGCCCUGAGGGGGAAAGCGGGGGACCUUCGGGCCUCGCGCGAUUGGAGCGGCUGAUGUCGGAUUAGCUAGUUGGUGGGGUAAAGGCCUACCAAGGCGACGAUCCGUAGCUGGUCUGAGAGGAUGAUCAGCCACACUGGGACUGAGACACGGCCCAGACUCCUACGGGAGGCAGCAGUGGGGAAUUUUGGACAAUGGGCGCAAGCCUGAUCCAGCCAUGCCGCGUGAGUGAAGAAGGCCUUCGGGUUGUAAAGCUCUUUCAGACGGAAAGAAAUCGGGCGCGUGAAUAGCGUGCCUGGAUGACGGUACUGUCAGAAGAAGCACCGGCUAACUACGU
This 481-nucleotide ribosomal RNA is filed under the name uncultured bacterium. RNAcentral's name for it is "bacterial SSU rRNA". It matches the Rfam family "Bacterial small subunit ribosomal RNA", at positions 29 to 506 of the family's 1533-position model. The record is from RNAcentral.